Molecule: ribosomal RNA, 408 nt
Filed under: Hipposideros ater (dusky roundleaf bat)
Lineage: Eukaryota; Metazoa; Chordata; Mammalia; Chiroptera; Hipposideridae
Description: partial 12S ribosomal RNA
Rfam family: Bacterial small subunit ribosomal RNA
Source: RNAcentral
UCCAACAACAAGAUUAUUCGCCAGAGUACUACUAGCAACAGCCUAAAACUCAAAGGACUUGGCGGUGCUUUAUAUCCCUCUAGAGGAGCCUGUCCCAUAACCGAUAAACCCCGAUAAACCCCACCAACCCUUGCUAAUUCAGUCUGUAUACCGCCAUCCUCAGCAAACCCUAAAAAGGAACCAUAGUAAGCACAAGCACAAGACAUAAAAACGUUAGGUCAAGGUGCAGCCCAUGGAUUGGAAGGAGAUGGGCUACAUUUUCUUAUCAAAGAACACAUAACGAUCACACGAACCCCUCCAUGAAACGGAAGGCCGAAGGUGGAUUUAGUAGUAAGCCAAGAAUAGAGAGCCUGGCUGAAUUAGGCCAUGAAGCACGCACAACACCGCCCCGUCACCCUCUGCAGUCAA